UGUGUGUGUGUGUGUGUGUGUGUGUGUGUGUGUGUGUGUGUGUGGCAGGGCUCGGCUCUGUUCAGCACUCUGUGUGGAGCACACUGGAGGAAUCAGGAGCAGGAGCAGAUUCAGAACGUCUUCAAGAGGUCUCACUCGGUUCAUCCGCUCAUGCGUCUCUCGCCGAAGCUCUCUCUGCGCAGGAAGAAGCAGCAGAGAAGCUGAAGAGAGUUUGCGGCGUGUCUGGACGACGUAUUCGAGGUGCGUGCAGAUUAAACUAUUGUGUAAAGCAGAUGCUCACACACACAUACAGCUAAAAACUGAAGUUAAUUCAGGAUUCACACAUUUCUGGAACAGUUCAUCUUUUCAUGAUUACAGGAUAAGAACUUCAUAGGUUCAUUAAUUUAAUGCACUUUAUAAAUUGAUUUAUUGUUUUAUUACUUCAUCAAAUGUAACUAAUUAAAAUAUAAUUUUUAAUUUACUUAAUGUUUAAUUAUUUUUUUAAUUUAACCAAUAUCAACUUAAUUUUUUAAAUUACACAAGAUUCAUCAAAACAUUUUUAAGUCAGUUUAAUAUUAUAGGAUUUUUUAAUAAUCUGAAAUAAGACAAUCUGAUUCGACUUAAAAAGUCAAGGCAGCAACUAAACUGAAGUUUCUGAGUUUAAAGUACUCAAAAAAUAAAAUAAAAAAAUAAAUAAAAAUACUACCA
This is a long non-coding RNA of Cyprinus carpio (common carp), 687 nucleotides long. The record is from Ensembl. NCBI's taxonomy places the organism in Eukaryota, Metazoa, Chordata, Actinopteri, Cypriniformes, Cyprinidae.